Non-coding RNA from Vicia faba (fava bean), 276 nucleotides. Lineage: Eukaryota; Viridiplantae; Streptophyta; Magnoliopsida; Fabales; Fabaceae. The record is from the annotation of a GenBank genome assembly.
AUGAACAAAGUGAUGAGACGGCGCCAUUUUUGCGACUUAGGGUUCAAAAUAGAGAUGAUUCAGUUUCACGAAGAAACUUCUUCUUCUCCUUCUCAACAAAAAAACACGUCACGAACCUCAUCUCUUUCGAUGAUUCUCCGUCGUCUCAACUACGUGCUUCCGCCUGUUUCUACUCCAUUUUGGUUCUCCCUCAAAGAUUCGCUUUGUUCAUGGUUCAUCGUCAAGCUUCGUUUCCAAUCUUACUGCAAACGUGAUUCCUUCGAGCCUCGUCUCUAA